UGCGUAGGCGGACUGGUAAGUCAGUGGUGAAAUCCUGCAGCUUAACUGUGGAACUGCCAUUGAAACUGUCAGUCUUGAGUCAGGUUGAGGUAGGCGGAAUGUGUAAUGUAGCGGUGAAAUGCUUAGAUAUUACACAGAACACCGAUUGCGUAGGCAGCUUACUGGACCUGCACUGACGCUGAGGCACGAAAGCGUGGGGAGCGAACAGGAUUAGAUACCCUGGUAGUCC
Molecule: ribosomal RNA, 229 nt
Filed under: uncultured bacterium
Lineage: Bacteria
Description: partial 16S ribosomal RNA
Rfam family: Bacterial small subunit ribosomal RNA
Source: RNAcentral